RNAcentral lists this ribosomal RNA (323 nucleotides) under uncultured eukaryote. Its description in RNAcentral is "partial 18S ribosomal RNA". It matches the Rfam family "Eukaryotic small subunit ribosomal RNA", at positions 1470 to 1796 of the family's 1831-position model. The record is from RNAcentral.
CCCUUAGAUGUUCUGGGCCGCACGCGUGCUACACUGAACGGUUCAAUGGGUAAGGUAGUGCGAAAGCAUGACCUAAUCUCGAAAUCCGUUCGUGCUGGGGAUAGAAGCUUGCAAUUAUCCUUCUUGAACGAGGAAUACCUUGUAAGCGUGAGUCAUCAUCUCACGCUGAAUACGUCCCUGCCCUUUGUACACACCGCCCGUCGCUCCUACCGAUUGAGUGUUCCGGUGAGGCUUUGGGAGAAUGGCCUCAACAUGAGUUUAUCGUGUCUUGCCGUUUGAACUUAGUCAAACCUUAUCACUUAGAGGAAGGAGAAGUCGUAACA